CCUACUGGUGGCAGCAGUCGAGAAUCAUUCACAAUGCGGGAAACCCUGAUGGUGCGACGCCGCGUGGGGGAAUGAAGGUCUUCGGAUUGUAAACCCCUGUCAUGUGGGAGAAAAUUAAAAAGAUAGUACCACAAGAGGAAGAGACGGCUAACUCUGUGCCAGCAGCAGCGGUAAUACAGACGUCUCAAGCUUUGUUCGGAAUCACUGGGCGUAACGCGUGCGUAGGCUGUUUCGUAAUCCGUCUGUGAAAGGCGCGGACUCAACCCGCGCGCGGCACAUGAUACUGCGAGACUAGAGUAAUGGGGGGGGAACCGGAAUACGCGGUGUAGCAGUGACAUGCGCAGAUAUCGAGAGGAAAACUCGGGGCGAAGGCGGGUUCCUGGACAUUAACUGACGCUGAGGCACGAAGGCCAGGGGAGCGAAAGAGAUUAGAUACCCCAGUAGUC
RNAcentral lists this ribosomal RNA (446 nucleotides) under uncultured bacterium. Its description in RNAcentral is "partial 16S ribosomal RNA". It matches the Rfam family "Bacterial small subunit ribosomal RNA", at positions 338 to 795 of the family's 1533-position model. The record is from RNAcentral.